GGUUGGAUGGCGCAGUUGGUCAGCGCGUAUGCUUCACACAGAUUGUUGAUCAGUGGACGCAUAAGGUCGCGAGUUCGAGCCUCGCUUCGAUCA
This is a non-coding RNA of Tilletiopsis washingtonensis, 93 nucleotides long. NCBI's taxonomy places the organism in Eukaryota, Fungi, Basidiomycota, Exobasidiomycetes, Entylomatales. The record is from the annotation of a RefSeq genome assembly.